This 302-nucleotide ribosomal RNA is filed under the name uncultured bacterium. Its description in RNAcentral is "partial 16S ribosomal RNA". It matches the Rfam family "Bacterial small subunit ribosomal RNA", at positions 508 to 807 of the family's 1533-position model. The record is from RNAcentral.
GCAGUAGCCGCGGUAAUACAGAGGGUGCGAGCGUUAAUCGGAUUUACUGGGCGUAAAGCGUGCGUAGGCGGCUUUUUAAGUCGGAUGUGAAAUCCCUGAGCUUAACUUAGGAAUUGCAUUCGAUACUGGGAAGCUAGAGUAUGGGAGAGGAUGGUAGAAUUCGAGGUGUAGCGGUGAAAUGCGUAGAGAUCUGGAGGAAUACCGAUGGCGAAGGCAGCCAUCUGGCCUAAUACUGACGCUGAGGUACGAAAGCAUGGGGAGCAAACAGGAUUAGAUACCCCAGUAGUCCCUGUCUCUUAUAC